UAAUGCGACUUUCUCCAGCUCCACAGGAAGUAAUGCUGCUGCCUCAGAUGAUGCUUUUGCCAACUUUGCAGACUUUAGUCCAAGCAAGUUUGAUGAUAAAGGAGCCUGGAGUUGAGAAGUCAAAACUUGAUGUUUACAUGAGGGACCAUGAGAUUGGGGUUUGGGCAAUGGAGGGGUGUUCACUCUUAGGGGUGUGGUUUUGAGUGCUAGAUGAUUAUUUCUUCCUGUGACGUCACAACAAACCUUCACAACUGUUGUAGAGUUCUCUCAUUGAUUUGUUAUCAAAUAUAAACUGCUGAUGGAUGUUCUGUUAACACAAGGACGGCUAUUAUCAACUUAAGACAUGAUUUAGUUCCCACAGUAUAGAUAACCAGAGGAGAAAACAUGAGGAGAUAUAUGAGUUACAUUCCUUGAUGUUUUUUGUGAAGAUGUCAGUCACUGUUGUAUAAUAAAGCAACAAAAACCUUGUAAAGUGCAAUACUCUAGUGAUAUGUUAGAACUAUUAUUGUAUUUAUUUUUAGAAAAAGAAUGUAAGCUAGUUUAACUUAGGUUUGGUUUGGUGUGUGAUGAAAUUUUCUGAUUUUACACCAGUCACAGAUACAUUACAAACUCAUCACACUUGUGCAAUCAUAGUUUUAUCUCGAAGGUUUUUAGUUUUACAUGUAUGUGUAGUUAUUAAUAUAUAAUAUUAUGAAAUCUUGUCAAUAAAAUGUGCCAAUCAUUUUAAGAA
Molecule: long non-coding RNA, 730 nt
Organism: Saccostrea cuccullata (small rock oyster)
Lineage: Eukaryota; Metazoa; Mollusca; Bivalvia; Ostreida; Ostreidae
Exons: 2
Source: RefSeq, a predicted model, not a curated record